RNAcentral lists this ribosomal RNA (801 nucleotides) under uncultured bacterium. Its description in RNAcentral is "bacterial SSU rRNA". It matches the Rfam family "Bacterial small subunit ribosomal RNA", at positions 8 to 796 of the family's 1533-position model. The record is from RNAcentral.
AGAGUUUGAUCCUGGCUCAGGACGAACGCUGACGGUGUGCUUUAGACAUGCAAGUCGAACGAGAAAGCCCUUCGGGGUGAGUACAGUGGCGAACGGGUGAGUAACACGUGGGCAAUCUGCCCCUCGCAGGGGGACAACCGGGGGAAACCCCGGCUAAUACCCCGUACGCUUGUUGAGUCGCAUGGCUCUUCAAGGAAAGGUAGCUUCGGCCAUCUGGCGAGGGAUGAGCCCGCGGUGCAUUAGCUAGUUGGUGAGGUAACGGCUCACCAAGGCGACGAUGCAUAGCUGGUCUGAGAGGAUGAUCAGCCACACUGGGACUGAGACACGGCCCAGACUCCUACGGGAGGCAGCAGUCGGGAAUCUUGCGCAAUGGGCGAAAGCCUGACGCAGCAACACCGUGUGAGCGACGAAGGCCUUCGGGUCGUAAAGCUCUGUUGUUGGGGACGAAGGGUUAGGGGUUAAUAGCCCCGAGCCUGACGGUACCCUUCGAGGAAGCCCCGGCUAACUACGUGCCAGCAGCCGCGGUAAUACGUAGGGGGCGAGCGUUGUCCGGAAUUAUUGGGCGUAAAGAGCGUGUAGGCGGUUCGGUAAGUCUGCCGUGAAAACCCAGGGCUCAACCCUGGGCGUGCGGUGGAUACUGUCGGGCUAGAGGGUGGUAGAGGCGAGUGGAAUUCCCGGUGUAGCGGUGAAAUGCGCAGAUAUCGGGAGGAACACCAGUAGCGAAGGCGGCUCGCUGGGCCAUACCUGACGCUGAGACGCGAAAGCGUGGGGAGCAAACAGGAUUAGAUACCCUAGUAGUCC